AUUGAACGCUGGCGGCAUGCCUUACACAUGCAAGUCAAACGGUAACGCGGGGCGACCUGGCGACGAGUGGCGAACGGGUGAGUAAAGCAUCGGAACGUGCCCAGUAGUGGGGGAUAGCCCGGCGAAAGCCGGAUUAAUACCGCAUACGACCUAAGGGUGAAAGGGGGGGAUCGCAAGACCUCUCGCUAUUGGAGCGGCCGAUGUCAGAUUAGCUAGUUGGUGGGGUAAAAGCUCACCAAGGCGACGAUCUGUAGCUGGUCUGAGAGGACGACCAGCCACACUGGGACUGAGACACGGCCCAGACUCCUACGGGAGGCAGCAGUGGGGAAUUUUGGACAAUGGACGAAAGUCUGAUCCAGCCAUGCCGCGUGCGGGAAGAAGGCCUUCGGGUUGUAAACCGCUUUUGUCAGGGAAGAAAUCCUUUGAGCUAAUACCUCGGGGGGAUGACGGUACCUGAAGAAUAAGCACCGGCUAACUACGUGCCAGCAGCCGCGGUAA
This 498-nucleotide ribosomal RNA is filed under the name uncultured bacterium. RNAcentral describes it as "partial 16S ribosomal RNA". It matches the Rfam family "Bacterial small subunit ribosomal RNA", at positions 29 to 523 of the family's 1533-position model. The record is from RNAcentral.